This 483-nucleotide long non-coding RNA is filed under the name Anser cygnoides (Swan goose). Its description in RNAcentral is "lncRNA (ENSACDG00005008478.1)". Lineage: Eukaryota; Metazoa; Chordata; Aves; Anseriformes; Anatidae. The record is from RNAcentral.
UUUUCUAUUUUCUGCCCUCUUCAUUUUUUCUAUUUUCUAUUUUUCUUUUUUCUAUUCUUCUUUUUUCUAUUUUCUAUUUUUUCUAUUUUCUGCCCUCUUCAUUUUUUUCUAUUUUCUUUUUUCUAUUCUUCUAUUUUUCUUUUUUCUAUUUUCUUCUUUUUUUUUCUGUUUUCUAUUUUCUUUUUUCUAUUUUCUGCCCUCUUCUUUUUUCUAUUUUCUUUUUUCUAUUUUCUGCCCUCUUCAUUUUUUCUAUUCUUUUCCCUCUUCUUUUUUUUUUUUUUUUUUUCCAGCGCUGUCAUUGUGGGGUUUUUGCGUCAUUUUCACCCGGUUUUGUUCCUGCUGUGUCACUCUGGGGGGGGGGGUCCUGGCAAAAAGGCUGUUUUUCCCCAAAACAAUCAGAAAUCUUUUGGGGGAAAAAUGGUUUAAAUCACAGGUGAGUAUAUGUUUGUGCUUGUGCCACGUUGCUUUUACAGUUGGAAACAC